GAAAAGUUAUCCAUGGAAGCCGAGACAAACAUGUAAACACAUGGACAAAAGUUGUCCCGCCUACAAGGGUAACCCUGUUUCAUAAACAAGGUGUCCCUACUGCCAGGGUGACCCUACCAGCCCAGACGAGUUGAAAACUUUCCAUAUAAACACUUGCAUUUAAAUGUUAUAUAAUGAAUAUAAUUUUGCCUCUCCCAUGGUAGCUCGGAGGGUAGAGAGUGUCCCUAGUACCCAAGAUCAUAUAAACAGCACCUCAGUCACAUUAUUAUCCCCUACCCCUCAACAUCUCUAUUCAAUGCUGCAUAAUAUUUACAAUAUUUGUGAUCAUACCAAAGAUUGAAUUGGCAUGGCAUACAAAAUAUGUGAAGAUUAUGAUUUUCAUCCCAUAGUUUUUAGGUAAGAUUGUGUAGUCAAACUAUAGAAAUUGUGACCUAUGAUGGCAUUGGAAGUACUAAAAUGAUGGGCAAAUUCUAUUAAAGCAUAACUAAAAUUACA
Molecule: non-coding RNA, 495 nt
Organism: Paramuricea clavata
Lineage: Eukaryota; Metazoa; Cnidaria; Anthozoa; Malacalcyonacea; Plexauridae
Source: the annotation of a GenBank genome assembly